This 775-nucleotide long non-coding RNA is filed under the name Equus caballus (horse). RNAcentral describes it as "lncRNA (ENSECAG00000034618.3)". Lineage: Eukaryota; Metazoa; Chordata; Mammalia; Perissodactyla; Equidae. The record is from RNAcentral.
GUUUCUACUGGGGCUGAGAUUCUAUUUGCUUGUGAAAGUUCCUGGAUCCUUUAGAAUUGGUUUUCCUUCCCUAGUAUUGUGAGGCCAUGAGGACCCCGUGUAAGAGCUCCAGGGGGGCCUCUCACACAGGUCAUUCUCUGGUUCAGCUCUCAGCUGCUGACUGCAGGACUGGCUCCAUGGCCUUCCCAUCUUCUGAGUUACAGGCAUUCAUGGUUGGUGGCUCCUGUGGUGACCAGAACAGAAACUGCCACUUGCUGAAAGAGGAAAGGACAGCAACAGCCUCGGGCCAGGGAGGUGACCACCAGGAAAUGAGCCUGGUUACCUGUGCUCAGACAGCUUGGACGUGGUACUCAGAGGGUGCCUUUGAAGCUGGAUGAAUGGACAAGUCACUACAUGGAAAUAGAAGCUCAGAGAGGGGCCGCUUCCCUGUCUAAGAAGCUCGCUGUGUGGCAAAGGCGCUCUGCAGGGGCUGUAGGUGAAACCUGGGAGGAAAGCGCUGAACUGGGGAGCAGGCAGCCCAGCCCCAACCUGCUGAGGCUGCAUUCUGAGGACCCACUGGCCCAGCCCUGUUCUGUGGGUUUGAUGUUUCCCGCAACUUGGGCCAAAUUCCCAGUGAAACUCACUGGGUAGGUCGUGAGUUCUCACUCAGAGGUGCAGGGUCUGACCCCUCUCUGGGCAGAGAGAAUGAGCUCCGUCACUCUCAGGGCCAAACACGGGACAUGACUGAACUUGAUGGAUGCCUUAUGUUCUUUGAAUUUUGCCUCUUUCUCCUUAG